Molecule: small nuclear RNA, 115 nt
Organism: Hemibagrus wyckioides
Lineage: Eukaryota; Metazoa; Chordata; Actinopteri; Siluriformes; Bagridae
Product: U5 spliceosomal RNA
Exons: 1
Source: RefSeq, a predicted model, not a curated record
UAGCUUUGGUUUCUCUUAAGUCAUAUAUAAAUCUUUCGCCUUUUACUAAAGAUUUCCGUGAAGAGGAUCGUCUAUGAGUUUGAUGUAUUUUUAUGAGCUUUGUUCUGGCAAAGCU